UCGUAUAAUGGAGGUGCUGGGGCUGUCGCUAAACUUUGUGCACGCCCCAGUGCUCUCUUAUAAUCCAUCUCACCCCCUUUUGUGCAUCACCGCGUGGGUGCUUUCCUUUUCAAAAGGAAGCAUUUUGCGCUUUUAUACAGACUCAAUGCAUGUGUAGAAUGUCUUACUAUUUGCAAUAAUAUGCGAUUAAUA
Molecule: unclassified non-coding RNA, 192 nt
Filed under: uncultured Russulaceae
Lineage: Eukaryota; Fungi; Basidiomycota; Agaricomycetes; Russulales; Russulaceae
Description: sequence contains ITS1
Source: RNAcentral